UUCCGGAACAGCCCCCCGCCACCCGCCCACGCACUCAGCUCGGCGCCCUCCGGCCAACCCCGCGGCCCCCACCCAGAGGAGGGGACUCCCUGCCCGGCCACCUCGACUGUCGCCAGAAUGAGUGUGAUAGACACGUGAGCCUACCUUCUAACCAAAAGCAAGUAAGAGCUGCUAUUGAUCGCAAACAAUGUGCUGGGCACUGUGCUGAUUCACUUGCGUUAGCUCUGUGACUCCUCGUGACAAUUCUAUGAGGGAUUCUGAUUUUGGUGAGAGUGGUGUGAGCCUGAGGGACAUAAUUUCUGGAAGACUCCGUCAAGUUAUCCUGGGAACUGAAGUCCGUGCCUGCCCACCACACUGUAUCAUCAUCUGCAAACAUCUCGGGUUCCCGUGCCAAGCCCUAGUCUCAGCUGAAAAGUAUUCUGCAUCUGGCACGGAUGAAGCCUGAUGCCUGCACAGAACGUGUGCUCAGCAGAGGGACCUGCCUCUCUCUCCCUGCUCCUGGAAGACAGUACUUGAAACAGUAUCACCCCUGCUUGCCCGGCAGUCCUCCUGCUUCGUGUGGAGCUCCCCCUGUGUGUCAGGUAUGUUAGGGACAUCAGACAGGGUGGGGCACCAAGCAGAUACAAGUCCCUGCCCUCAUGCACCUCAUAGUUGGAAUCUGGGAGGAGAGAGAAGAAAAGAAACAAGACAAUAAAUUAAAUAUAGACAAAGUCAGACGGCAAUAAGCUAUAAAAAAACAUGAGAAAUAAAGAGAGAGAGAGAGUAUGUGCAUGUGUCUUGUAUGUGUGUACGUGUCAUUUUUGAGAGGAUGGCCAGGGAAGUACUUUCUAAGGCCCACUGCCCAUUUUCAGACAGCUGUUAAGAAUGGUGUUUCCAUUUUUAACUUGUUGGAAUAAAAAUCAAAAGAACAACAUUUUGUAGCACAUGAAAACUACAGGAAAUUCCAUUUCAGUAUCUAUAAAUAAAGUUUUAUUGGAACAUAGCUCUGCUCAUUUGUUUCUUGUCUGUGUGCUUCUGCAUGACAAUGGGAAGCGUGUGUAUUGCCAAGGAGACCAUGUAUCCCGUGCCUAAAAUAUUAUUCCCUGGCCUUUUAUAGAAGUAGUUUGCCAAACACCUCCCCUAAGGUGUCAUUGGAAGAAGGACCUGAAGUAGGUAAGGGAGGAAGCCAUGCCUUUAUCUGAGCAAACAUCCCAGCAGAUAUUACAGUACAUGCAAAGGCUUGUAGGAUGAGGUAGGGUCAUAUCUGGUACACUCUUGAGUAGAACCUGGCAUGGUAGGCACUCAGAUAUUUGUCGAAUACUUUAAUAAAAGAAUGGAUAAGGUAUAAUUUUCUAGUUUUUAUAUUUUUGCCUUCUCUGCCCAAAAGCCUUACCAAUCUACUACCUAAACCCUUGGUUUAGAAAUCUUUGGUGUCAAUUGUAGGCUUAAGAUCUCAACACUAGACAUGCAUGCAGUCAAGGAGGGGACUUGGGAGCAAGACAGUGCAUCUUCAAGAGGAGGGCAGGAAACAGUCCUGGGCUGGGGAGGCUUAAUAAGAUAAUCAGGAUGUGUAACUGUACAAUAAGGCAAGUAGGGAGCAGAGGAGGGCGACGGCUGGACACACCACUUCCGGUUCCUUGCUUGCUUUCCCUUAUCAUUUCGGGGAAAGGGGCUUCCUCUUGGGCGUUUGGCAAAGCACGGUUCGGUAUUUCUCUGCAUGGCCAAAAAUCAACAACAAGGGAGGAGAUUUUCCAGGGAUGUGCAUGUUGCAGCCAAAGUGACUUUCUGUGGGUCUCUGCCAGAAAGGA
Long non-coding RNA from Manis pentadactyla (Chinese pangolin), 1787 nucleotides. RefSeq lists it as uncharacterized. The record is from RefSeq and is a predicted model, not a curated record. Lineage: Eukaryota; Metazoa; Chordata; Mammalia; Pholidota; Manidae. The transcript is spliced from 3 exons.